RNAcentral lists this ribosomal RNA (471 nucleotides) under uncultured bacterium. RNAcentral describes it as "partial 16S ribosomal RNA". It matches the Rfam family "Bacterial small subunit ribosomal RNA", at positions 29 to 507 of the family's 1533-position model. The record is from RNAcentral.
ACGAACGCUGGCGGCGUGCUUAACACAUGCAAGUCGAACGCUGAAGCUUGGUGCUUGCACUGGGUGGAUGAGUGGCGAACGGGUGAGUAAUACGUGAGUAGCCUGCCCUUGACUCUGGGAUAAGCCUGGGAAACUGGGUAUAAUACUGGAUACGACAUGUCACCGCAUGGUGGUGUGUGGAAAGGGUUUUACUGGUUUUGGAUGGGCUCACGGCCUAUCAGCUUGUUGGUGGGGUAAUGGCUCACCAAGGCGACGACGGGUAGCCGGCCUGAGAGGGUGACCGGCCACACUGGGACUGAGACACGGCCCAGACUCCUACGGGAGGCAGCAGUGGGGAAUAUUGCACAAUGGGCGGAAGCCUGAUGCAGCGACGCCGCGUGAGGGAUGACGGCCUUCGGGUUGUAAACCUCUUUCAGCACGGAAGAAGCGAAAGUGACGGUACGUGCAGAAGAAGCGCCGGCUAACUACGUG